CCUACGGGGCGCAGCAGUGGGGAAUAUUGGACAAUGGGCGAAAGCCUGAUCCAGCCAUGCCGCGUGUGUGAAGAAGGCCUUCGGGUUGUAAAGCACUUUCAGUGGGGAAGAAAGCCUUGGGGCUAAUACCCUCGAGGAAGGACAUCACCCACAGAAGAAGCACCGGCUAACUCCGUGCCAGCAGCCGCGGUAAUACGGAGGGUGCGAGCGUUAAUCGGAAUUACUGGGCGUAAAGCGCGCGUAGGCGGUCUGAUAAGCCGGUUGUGAAAGCCCCGGGCGCAACCUGGGAACGGCAUCCGGAACUGUCAGGCUAGAGUGCAGGAGAGGAAGGUAGAAUUCCCGGUGUAGCGGUGAAAUGCGUAGAGAUCGGGAGGAAUACCAGUGGCGAAGGCGGCCUUCUGGACUGACACUGACGCUGAGGUGCGAAAGCGUGGGUAGCAAACAGGAUUAGAUACCCCUGUAGUC
RNAcentral lists this ribosomal RNA (465 nucleotides) under Vreelandella stevensii. RNAcentral describes it as "partial 16S ribosomal RNA". It matches the Rfam family "Bacterial small subunit ribosomal RNA", at positions 338 to 795 of the family's 1533-position model. Lineage: Bacteria; Pseudomonadati; Pseudomonadota; Gammaproteobacteria; Oceanospirillales; Halomonadaceae. The record is from RNAcentral.